AGACGUCUACAUUAGAUACCCGGGUAGUCCCAGCCGUAAACUAUGCGCGUUAGGUGUAUCGGUGACCACGAGUCACCGAGGUGCCGAAGGGAAACCGUGAAACGUGCCGCCUGGGAAGUACGGUCGCAAGGCUGAAACCUAAAGGAAUUGGCGGGGAGCACCACAACGGGUGGAGCCUGCGGUUUAAUUGGACUCAACGCCGGGAAGCUCACCGGAUAGGACAGCAGAAUGAUUGCCGGGCUGAAGACCCUGCAUGACUAGCUG
Molecule: ribosomal RNA, 264 nt
Filed under: uncultured archaeon
Lineage: Archaea
Description: partial 16S ribosomal RNA
Rfam family: Archaeal small subunit ribosomal RNA
Source: RNAcentral